UACGUAGGCAGCGAGCGUUGUUCGGAGUUACUGGGCGUAAAGGGUGUGUAGGCGGUUGUUUAAGGUUGGUGUGAAAUCUCCCGGCUCAACUGGGAGGGUGCGCCGAAUACUGAGCGACUAGAGUGCGGGAGAGGAAAGUGGAAUUCCUGGUGUAGCGGUGAAAUGCGUAGAUAUCAGGAGGAACACCGGUGGUGUAGACGGCUUUCUGGACCGUAACUGACGCUGAGACACGAAAGCGUGGGUAGCAAACAGG
Molecule: ribosomal RNA, 253 nt
Filed under: uncultured bacterium
Lineage: Bacteria
Description: partial 16S ribosomal RNA
Rfam family: Bacterial small subunit ribosomal RNA
Source: RNAcentral